GCUAGUUUAGCUUAGUUGGCAGAGCAACUGAUUCGUAAUCAGUAGGUCAGAGGUUCAAAUCCCCUAACUAGCACCA
Molecule: transfer RNA, 76 nt
Filed under: [Mycoplasma] phocae
Lineage: Bacteria; Bacillati; Mycoplasmatota; Mycoplasmoidales; Metamycoplasmataceae
Also listed under: 1 other name
Description: Mycoplasma phocidae tRNA-Thr
Rfam family: tRNA
About the family: Transfer RNA (tRNA) molecules are approximately 80 nucleotides in length. Their secondary structure includes four short double-helical elements and three loops (D, anti-codon, and T loops). Further hydrogen bonds mediate the characteristic L-shaped molecular structure. tRNAs have two regions of fundamental functional importance: the anti-codon, which is responsible for specific mRNA codon recognition, and the 3' end, to which the tRNAs corresponding amino acid is attached (by aminoacyl-tRNA synthetases). tRNAs cope with the degeneracy of the genetic code in two manners: having more than one tRNA (with a specific anti-codon) for a particular amino acid; and 'wobble' base-pairing, i.e. permitting non-standard base-pairing at the 3rd anti-codon position.
Source: RNAcentral